GAUGAACGCUGGCGGCGUGCCUAAUACAUGCAAGUCGAGCGAACAGACGAGGAGCUUGCUCCUCUGACGUUAGCGGCGGACGGGUGAGUAACACGUGGAUAACCUACCUAUAAGACUGGGAUAACUUCGGGAAACCGGAGCUAAUACCGGAUAAUAUAUUGAACCGCAUGGUUCAAUAGUGAAAGACGGUUUUGCUGUCACUUAUAGAUGGAUCCGCGCCGCAUUAGCUAGUUGGUAAGGUAACGGCUUACCAAGGCAACGAUGCGUAGCCGACCUGAGAGGGUGAUCGGCCACACUGGAGCGUGGACACGGUCCAGACGCCUACGGGAGGCAGCAGUAGGGAAUCUGCCGCAAUGGGCGAAAGCAUGACGGAGCAACGCCGCGUGAGUGAUGAAGGUCUUCGGAUCGUAAAACUCUGUUAUUAGGGAAGAACAAAUGUGUAAGUAACUAUGCACGUCUUGACGGUACCUAAUCAGAAAGCCACGGCUAACUACGUG
Molecule: ribosomal RNA, 497 nt
Filed under: uncultured bacterium
Lineage: Bacteria
Description: partial 16S ribosomal RNA
Rfam family: Bacterial small subunit ribosomal RNA
Source: RNAcentral